CAAACGGGUGAGUAACACGUGGGCGACCUGCCUUCGAGUGGGGGAUAACCUUCCGAAAGGAGGGCUAAUACCGCAUGACAUCCCGUGUUUGGAUACACGGUGAUCAAAGCCGGGGAUCGCAAGACCUGGCGCUUGAAGAGGGGCCCGCGUCCGAUUAGCUUGUUGGUGAGGUAACGGCUCACCAAGGCUCCGAUCGGUAGCCGGCCUGAGAGGGCGGACGGCCACACUGGGACUGAGACACGGCCCAG
This 248-nucleotide ribosomal RNA is filed under the name uncultured bacterium. RNAcentral describes it as "partial 16S ribosomal RNA". It matches the Rfam family "Bacterial small subunit ribosomal RNA", at positions 99 to 334 of the family's 1533-position model. The record is from RNAcentral.